GCCUAAUACUGACGCUGAGGUACGAAAGCAUGGGGAGCAAACAGGAUUAGAUACCCUGGUAGUCCAUGCCGUAAACGAUGUCUACUAGCCGUUGGGGCCUUUGAGGCUUUAGUGGCGCAGCUAACGCGAUAAGUAGACCGCCUGGGGAGUACGGUCGCAAGACUAAAACUCAAAUGAAUUGACGGGGGCCCGCACAAGCGGUGGAGCAUGUGGUUUAAUUCGAUGCAACGCGAAGAACCUUACCUGGCCUUGACAUACUAGAAACUUUCCAGAGAUGGAUUGGUGCCUUCGGGAAUCUAGAUACAGGUGCUGCAUGGCUGUCGUCAGCUCGUGUCGUGAGAUGUUGGGUUAAGUCCCGCAACGAGCGCAACCCUUUUCCUUACUUGCCAGCAUUUCGGAUGGGAACUUUAAGGAUACUGCCASUGACAAACUGSAGGAAGGCGGGGACGACGUCAAGUCAUCAUGGCCCUUACGGCCAGGGCUACACACGUGCUACAAUGGUCSAAACWGAGGGUUGCUACRCAGCGAUCUGAUGCUAAUCUCUCAAAGCCAAUCUUG
Molecule: ribosomal RNA, 558 nt
Filed under: Acinetobacter baumannii
Lineage: Bacteria; Pseudomonadati; Pseudomonadota; Gammaproteobacteria; Moraxellales; Moraxellaceae
Description: bacterial SSU rRNA
Rfam family: Bacterial small subunit ribosomal RNA
Source: RNAcentral